AGAGGUCCCGCCUGCCCUGUGACUACACGUUUAACGGCCGCGGUAUUUUGACCGUGCAAAGGUAGCGCAAUCACUUGUCUUUUAAAUGGAGACCUGUAUGAAUGGCAUUACGAGGGCUUGACUGUCUCCCUUUUCAAGUCAAUGAAAUUGAUCUCCCCGUGCAGAAGCGGGGAUUCUUCCACAAGACGAGAAGACCCUAUGAAGCUUUAGACACUAAGGUAGUCUACGCCAACCAACCUCCCCCAAGAGACCGAGCCUAAUAGCAUUCUACCCGACUGUCUUUGGUUGGGGCGACCACGGGGGAGAACCAAGCCCCCACGCAGAACGGGGCAAUUCCUGUCCUAAAGCCCAGAGCCCCCGCUCCAAGCAACAAAAUCUCUUUGACUUUCCAGAUCCGGCAUGGCCGAUCUACGGACCGAGUUACUCUAGGGAUAACAGCGCAAUCUCCUUUCAGAGCCCCUAUCGACAAGGAGGUUUACGACCUCGAUGUUGGAUCAGGACAUCCUAAUGGUGCAGCCGCUAU
This 523-nucleotide ribosomal RNA is filed under the name Pseudocheilinus hexataenia (sixline wrasse). Its description in RNAcentral is "partial large subunit ribosomal RNA". It matches the Rfam family "Bacterial large subunit ribosomal RNA", at positions 1848 to 2565 of the family's 2925-position model. Lineage: Eukaryota; Metazoa; Chordata; Actinopteri; Labriformes; Labridae. The record is from RNAcentral.